GGGCCAGUUUGAAAUGGAGUCCCACAUACACCAUUGCGUGUACCGAAAAUACAAAUAGAUUGAAGCAAUAUGAUUUAUUCCUCAGCCAUUAGAUCUUAAUCCAGUGGCUGAAAUAUACACUCCGAGACUUGAAACCGGUAGGGGACUCGGGAGUUGCGACGAGGUCCGCCGGCCCUAACCCAUUCACGAGUCUCACCCGAUCGAUCCCUCCCAUCUCUCAUCUAUUUCCCCUCUUCGUCCUCUCCCAAUCCAUCCCUCGCGUCCGGUCUACACCUUUUUCCGGCUCUCUACCACUUCGACGGCAACAAGGUCUCACCUUUUCCCGGCGAGCUUGAGCUCGGCCUGGCCAUCUCGUGCCGAGCUCGAGGGCGGAGUUGCUUCCCAUGGAUGCGGAUACGGCCAUGGAUAUGGAAAUAGGGGAUGGCUCUUCGUCCUACUCCUCCUCCAAGCGUCUGGGCAUCAAGAACACCAUCCAAACCAAUUUCGGCGACGAUUACGUCUUCCAAAUUGCUUCCAGGUAUCUUUACCCGUCACCGCCUUCGAUGGAAUCAGCUGGAAUAUUGGAAGAUGUCUCUUGGACUCAAUCUGUUCUUCUUGUAUUUCCGUUCGUUCUUUUUAAAGAUUUGUUCGUUAAUGUCAAUCAUAUGAAUUGGUAACUUGCUCAAUAAGUUGCUUGCUUGUGCCAUGCAGCCUUACUAUUUCUUUAAUAAUCGAGUCGAAAAGUGAUCAAUAAAAAUACUCGUUUAGCCAUAUCCUUCUUCAUGAUGAUUUAUUUUAUUUUUUAGACCUUUUGAUAAGUGGGCGACCACUGGGCUAGGAAGGAGGAGCUCCGAUGAGAAUCGGCGAGUUGCGGUCUUGCGGCGCGCAACGUCGUCCGAGAGAUCUGCAAGAAGCCGGUGGUCGGGGUUUCCGGCGCCGGCCCUCUGAUGCUUAAGUUAGAGGGGGCAAGUGUAUAAACGGGAGGAGUUGUGAAUAUUCAGAGUUUCAAUCUUCCAGUCCCCUUUUAAAAUGGAGAAGUUCCCCUUUUAUGGAGGGAAGUUGGGUUACUUGUGAUGUGACGGGGCAAACGGUCUGUCGUACGAUUGGGCAUGCAGUAGAAAUUAAUGCUCGAUCGUGUGAAUCAAUGCUGUUACUGUAGGAGAUCAGGCCGAAGCUUACAAAUCAUCGUGGAGUCAUGCCAUCAUUUGUAGCCGAGCAGAUUUACCGUAAGGGGCUUGAUGUCCGUAGACAGCAGAAGCUAUACGCUUUAAUUGUUGAGUAAGCUGAGUACCUGUAGGGGCCAUACGCUUUGAUUGUUGAGUAAACUGAAUGCCUGUAGGAGUCAUACGUAUUGAUUGUUGAAGAAGGCAAGGCAUAGUUUUUCGGUCGCGCUGCGGGGGAUGUGACCACAGCGCGCGAGUCGGAAGGCUUUGGGUCGGUAGGGCUGCUUGGACGCUUCCAGGUUGGAGAGGUCACUCGGGCGCCUCCGGAUUUCCUGGUCGAAGGAUCUGCUCGGUCGCCUCCAGGUCGGAGGGUCCGCUCGGACGCCUCCAAGUCGGAGGGUCUGGUCGGACGUUCAUGCAAGCGUGACGAUUUAUAUUUUUUCCCCCCAACACUAUCCCCCGACUUCCGAGCUCGAGCUGCUCGCAGGCUCGAGCGCGGGAANNNNNNNNNNNNNNNNNNNNUCUGCUCGGUCGCCUCCAGGUCGGAGGGUCCGCUCGGACGCCUCCAAGUCGGAGGGUCUGGUCGGACGUUCAUGCAAGCGUGACGAUUUAUAUUUUUUCCCCCCAACACUAUCCCCCGACUUCCGAGCUCGAGCUGCUCGCAGGCUCGAGCGCGGGAAGUAGCUUCGGUCGUGUUAAUGUGGAUUAGGAGAAUUUUGAAUUAUUGCGCGCUUCAAGGUGCUUUUAAUGGGCAGCGUCUCCUUUUUUCCGAAACGUUUCAUCGGGGGGUGCCUUUUUAUUUUUCGAAGCGUCCUCGCGUCGUGGCCUCAUGAUGGGGCCACACGAUCCAACGAGGCGCUUCCAUAUUCGAAGCGUCAGCUCGAAUUGAAUGCAGCGCUUUAAUUUUCGGGGUCGACACGUGUUGUGAUCUGGACGGGAAGCAGUGCUCCGCCUCGCAGAUCUGGGCCGUCAGAGGGAUUUAUAUAAAUUCCUACUUGGCCGUCUCUGACUUCUUUCCCAUAGCCUCUCCAUCUUCUUCCCAGUCCGAAGCGGCCAAUCCUCCAUUACCUCCGACGAACUCCCAAAGGUGUCCUCUUCGUCUAUUCGGAACCCUCUCUUCCUCCCCUCUCCUUCUCUUUCUUCUUUCUUUCUUUUUUUUCCUAAUGGGUCUUGGUCCGGAUGAAAUUGGGUCCACAAUGAGUGAGGAGGAGGUUGAAAUGGCCGAGGAGUGGUUUUUUCCUCGGCAAGGGUUCCGUGGAACCCGCUGGGUUGGGCGAUCGGGUAACGAACCCCCUACAGGUCGGAUCAGAGUGUAUAUGGAGGCACUCUAGGCCGGCCUGCGAUUUUCCUUCCAUAGGUUCGUGAAUGAGUUGCUUGGGGAGUACCAACUCGUCCCAGCGCAACUUGCUCCGAACGCAUGGAGGACGAUUAUCGAGUUUUUGUCCUUGUGCGUAGCACACGGGAUCCCGUCUUCUGUGAAUGUCUUCCGGCGGCUUUUCAUGUUGAAGUCCAACCCGGGAGACUGAGAGUGGCUCUAUAUCGCCCUUCGGGGGGGGGGCGGCCACUCUUCCGGGGCGCUCCGACGUCCAUUCAUGAAUGGAAGNNNNNNNNNNUUUUUUCUUUUUGGCUUCCGAGCGGUCAUGGGGGUUCGACCCUAGGUGGAGGCAGAGCCGGCUCAAGACCGCCAACAAACUCCCUAGGCUUUCCACGCGCGAGCAGGGGAUCCUUGACGCCGUUCGCGGCCUCGGGGAUGAUAUUCUUCUGAGCGACCUCGUGAGCGAGGAUGCUCUAAUCAAUGUCGGUCUGAGCUCGGCGCGCCCUCAGGGUAAGGAUAGUAACUUAAAAAAUUGUCUCUCUUCUUUUUUCCCUCACAAUAUUUUACAAACUUCUUUUGCUCGUCCUUGCAGACAUUGCGAAAAUGGUGACCAACAGCGGAGCUCUGUACGCUCGGUUCCGAAAGAGGGCGGCCGAGAC
RNAcentral lists this long non-coding RNA (3116 nucleotides) under Phoenix dactylifera (date palm). RNAcentral's name for it is "long non-coding RNA (PDAC_LNC007219)". Lineage: Eukaryota; Viridiplantae; Streptophyta; Magnoliopsida; Arecales; Arecaceae. The record is from RNAcentral.